Molecule: ribosomal RNA, 484 nt
Filed under: uncultured bacterium
Lineage: Bacteria
Description: partial 16S ribosomal RNA
Rfam family: Bacterial small subunit ribosomal RNA
Source: RNAcentral
AUUGAACGCUGGCGGCAGGCCUAACACAUGCAAGUCGAGCGGAUGAAGGGAGCUUGCUCCUGGAUUCAGCGGCGGACGGGUGAGUAAUGCCUAGGAAUCUGCCUGGUAGUGGGGGAUAACGUCCGGAAACGGGCGCUAAUACCGCAUACGUCCUGAGGGAGAAAGUGGGGGAUCUUCGGACCUCACGCUAUCAGAUGAGCCUAGGUCGGAUUAGCUAGUUGGUGGGGUAAAGGCCUACCAAGGCGACGAUCCGUAACUGGUCUGAGAGGAUGAUCAGUCACACUGGAACUGAGACACGGUCCAGACUCCUACGGGAGGCAGCAGUGGGGAAUAUUGGACAAAGGGCGAAAGCCUGAUCCAGCCAUGCCGCGUGUGUGAAGAAGGUCUUCGGAUUGUAAAGCACUUUAAGUUGGGAGGAAGGGCAGUAAGUUAAUACCUUGCUGUUUUGAGGUUACCAACAGAAUAAGCACCGGCUAACUUCGUG